This is a non-coding RNA of Pelodiscus sinensis (Chinese soft-shelled turtle), 712 nucleotides long. NCBI's taxonomy places the organism in Eukaryota, Metazoa, Chordata, Testudines, Trionychidae. The record is from RefSeq and is a predicted model, not a curated record.
CCAGCAGCCGUUUCCGCUUUCGUUAAAGCAACAGAGUCUCCAAAUUACCCUCCGUGCGCGGCGUUUGCCGCCGGCCCCUCGCUGCCCGCUCCAGCCUCUGCCCGGCUCCGGAUUCGGGGCUCUCCGGCCGCGCCGGCCCGGGAGGCCGCGUCCUGGCGGUGUCCUUUGCAAAUGGAUUUACAGCGAACCAGGAAAACACGAGGCGUCAGGCCCGGUUUGCGCGAAAGCUUGCAUGUAAGGCGUGCGUUGGCUAGCCUAAAGGACAAUUGAAAGCAGGCACCAAAAACCCGGCUUCAUACAAACAAACAAAAUCUGACACCGGCUCUGUAAAACCUGCCGUUUGAGAAACAAUCUAAAAACGUAGCGAUCUUUGUUUGCACGGCUCCAAACGUUAGCUGGGCGAGUAACUGCUUUAUACCCAAGGAAAAAAAUGCCAGCUUUCUUUCUGCCCCAGACUGGAAAACGUGAUUACAAAUAAAUAAAACGACCCACCCUUUUAAAACAACAUAAAAGCAUAACCCGCUGCGACUGGCCUCAAAGGGAAGACGGCAAAGAUGAAUCCCCCGCAUGGUACUUUCUUGGGCGCCCUAAAAAAACAAAAAAACCAACUGACCCAAAUCUUUUGUUUCCGUUUUUCCGAUCGCUGGAAUCGGCCCCUACAGUUGGGCUGCAGAUUCAGAGUAAAAAGUAUAUUUGUGCUAGUAAAAAAAAA